This 252-nucleotide ribosomal RNA is filed under the name uncultured bacterium. RNAcentral describes it as "partial 16S ribosomal RNA". It matches the Rfam family "Bacterial small subunit ribosomal RNA", at positions 524 to 776 of the family's 1533-position model. The record is from RNAcentral.
UACAGAGGUCCCAAGCGUUGUUCGGAUUCACUGGGCGUAAAGGGUGCGUAGGUGGUGAGGUAAGUCGGAUGUGAAAGCUCGGAGCUCAACUCCGAAAUGGCAUUGGAAACUACCUUGCUCGAGGGUUGGAGGGGGACUGGAAUGCUUGGUGUAGCAGUGAAAUGCGUAGAUAUCAAGCGGAACACCAGUGGCGAAGGCGAGUCCCUGGACAACUCCUGACACUGAGGCACGAAAGCUAGGGGAGCAAACAGG